AAUACGAAGGGACCUAGCGUAGUUCGGAAUUACUGGGCUUAAAGAGUUCGUAGGUGGUUGAAAAAGUUGGUGGUGAAAUCCCAGAGCUUAACUCUGGAACUGCCAUCAAAACUUUUCAGCUAGAGUAUGAUAGAGGAAAGCAGAAUUUCUAGUGUAGAGGUGAAAUUCGUAGAUAUUAGAAAGAAUACCAAUUGCGAAGGCAGCUUUCUGGAUCAUUACUGACACUGAGGAACGAAAGCAUGGGUAGCGAAGAGGAUUAGAUACCCUCGUAGUCCAUGCCGUAAACGAUGUGUGUUAGACGUUGGAAAUUUAUUUUCAGUGUCGCAGCGAAAGCGAUAAACACACCGCCUGGGGAGUACGACCGCAAGGUUAAAACUCAAAUGAAUUGACGGGGACCCGCACAAGUAGUGGAGCAUGUGGUUUAAUUCGAAGAUACGCGCAGAACCUUACCAACACUUGACAUGUUCGUCGCGACUUUAAGAGAUUAAAGUUUUCGGUUCGGCCGGACGAAACACAGGUGCUGCAUGGCUGUCGUCAGCUCGUGUCGUGAGAUGUUGGGUUAAGUCCCGCAACGAGCGCAACCCUCACUUUUAGUUGCCAUCAUUUAGUUGGGCACUCUGAAAGAACUGCCAGUGAUAAGCUGGAGGAAGGUGGGGAUGACGUCAAGUCCUCAUGGCCCUUACGUGUUGGGCUACACACGUGCUACAAUGGCAUCUACAAUAGGAAGCAAGAUGGCGACAUCAAGCAAAUCCUAAAAAGAUGCCUCAGUUCGGAUUGCACUCUGCAACUCGAGUGCAUGAAGCUGGAAUUACUAGUAAUCGCGGAUCAGCGCGCCGCGGUGAAUACGUUCCCGGGUCUUGUACACACCGCCCGUCACACCAUGGGAGUUGGUUCUACCUUAAGGCAAAGUUUAAAACCUUUGACCACGGUAUAGUCAGC
RNAcentral lists this ribosomal RNA (939 nucleotides) under uncultured bacterium. RNAcentral describes it as "bacterial SSU rRNA". It matches the Rfam family "Bacterial small subunit ribosomal RNA", at positions 522 to 1472 of the family's 1533-position model. The record is from RNAcentral.